UGUAUCCUUGGAGUCCUAGAUUGU
Molecule: non-coding RNA, 24 nt
Filed under: Arabidopsis thaliana (thale cress)
Lineage: Eukaryota; Viridiplantae; Streptophyta; Magnoliopsida; Brassicales; Brassicaceae
Source: RNAcentral